GAGAAGGGGCGCGAAGGUAUCAUUGAGUGCAGCGUUGAUGAGCCGCCGCCAGCCCUUCCCCGGCCGCGGCUCACCGGCGCUGCACUCAAUUACGCCUUUGCUCUCUGGCCGGCGACGGCGAGUCCCCUCGUAGCCGUGUAGACAUCCCUCAAUCAUCAGGCGGGUUGGCGUGCGGGGAGGGCGUUUUAUACUACGCGGCCCGGCGGCAAUCCGGCGGAGAAACGGAGGUGGGUGGAGGCGAAAACAGGGAGCGCGUCGCCGGUUUUGGACUCCGACGGGAGGCGCUCACCGCUCGCCCCGUUUCCAAGGAAGCAGGGCGGUGGCAUGGUGCAUGCAUGUUGCCAAACUGCCAAAGCGUCGCGGCACGGGCCAUGGCCCAUGGGGAAGGGGAGCUUAAAAACUGUACACUCCUUAGUUUUUCUUUUUCUUUUGAAUGGCACAUUCGCGCUCCUUAGUGUUUUUUUUUUCGAGGCACUCCAUAGUUUUUCUUACUGCACGCUAUUAGUUUUUCGUUUGCCUUUCAAAAAAGAGUUUUUUCUUUUUGCCACAAUUCUGUAUUUGCCGUUAUAUAUAUGUCCCAUUACCAUGUGAGGACGAGGAACAUCCGUUACUGACAACAGUAAAUAAUAGACUGUGCAGAAGUGCUACGGCAGUAAAGAAAUUUUCCGCUUCCUCUUCUCCCUUUAUUUGUAGUGGCGACUGGUGAAGCCGUGAUCCUGUUUGGUUUCCUCUUCUAGGAAUUUUUAGAUUUUUUUUUUACAUAUAUGGAGUACUAAAUGAAAUUUAUUUGAAAAACAUCUUCACGGAUGAGUGUAAUUUCUCACGACGAAAUUUAAUGAUGGCAAUUGAUCGAUGAUUGGCUGCAGUGAUGCUACAGUAACUAUCUUCUAAUCAUGCGAUCAAAGGUCUCAUUAAAUUCAUCAGGGUUCUUAACACAGGGGUUCUGAAGUUGGUUUUAUAAACGAACUUUAUUUAAUACCCCUAAUUAGCGGUCAAAGUGCCUUCUAGGCAUUCUAGGAAGAAACCAAAUAGAACCCGUGUUGUGCGAGAGAUCCAUGAGGGUUGAGCGCAGUGUACUCUCUAAGAAGGAAACUCUGAAUUCCCUGUUAAUUAAUUGGACAAAGUCCAAGAAUUGUAAGGCUGAUUUACCUUUACGUAUUUCGUUCUUCAUAUAUAUAUUUUCCCCAUCCGCAAGUAUAUUUUUACAUUUUAGGGGCAUAGAGCGAGACUUUGUAGUAUUGAUUAUCUUGCCUUGCAUUAGACGCCUAAAGUGUUUGUAAUUGUGAGAGUUGAACUUUGUAUGCUUGUAUCUGACCUGUCUCUAUACCUUAAGUUUUAUGGGUCCCAUCAGCCGAACUUAGGCUCAUUAUAGUGACACAUCAGCAUUUAUGAUGAUAUGUCAAGGUAAUUACAAAGAAAGAGAGGGAAAAAGACUCAUCCGAUGAAACUGUGUAUACAGUGUUUCCAAUACUAUGAAAAUUAUUGAAACCUGCAUUGAGGAUUAUAGAGUUUCAUUUCAUACGAUUGUGUCCAAUCAUAUAUGUACCUCACAAUUAAUUGUUAUGGCUAAUACAUGAAAUCGUGAAAUAAAACUUUGCAUUGAAA
Molecule: long non-coding RNA, 1605 nt
Organism: Panicum virgatum (switchgrass)
Lineage: Eukaryota; Viridiplantae; Streptophyta; Magnoliopsida; Poales; Poaceae
Exons: 2
Source: RefSeq, a predicted model, not a curated record